GAGUUGCGUCGCUCGCAUUAUGCUGAUUUAGAGGGAGGAGGAGGAGAAGGAGCAGGGGUCUGGAAACUAGGGGAGCCGAAAGAAGCCAUUACUGUCAGCAUGUGCACUUCAUUUGCCCAAAGCCACGGAUAACAUUUCUGAAUGCACGCGCUCCACUACAGCAACUUUUACUGCCGCCACCAGCUGCAGAAAAAAGACAAAAUAAGCCAAAAACCAACCAAGUGGCAAGAGCUGCAAGAAACCCAUUGCGAUCACGUUCCAGGCACCUUUUUAUACCUUAUGACUCUGAUUGAUGGCCGUUGCCAAAAUAUAAAUGCCAAAAUAUCACACGCCA
Molecule: unclassified non-coding RNA, 334 nt
Filed under: Drosophila yakuba
Lineage: Eukaryota; Metazoa; Arthropoda; Insecta; Diptera; Drosophilidae
Description: GE28144
Source: RNAcentral